GCCAUACUCAUCACAUAACAAGCAAUUUCCUACAGAGAUAACUCCUCUCUUAGUCAGAUUCUUCUUAGUCAAGAUUUUGUCAUAAUAGGUGAACCAAAAGAAUAAUUUUGCCUUCUCCGAAAUUGGGAGACUGCAGAACCGUUUAUCUAGAGGUGAGAGCACACCACCAUGCAUGAAAAAAUUGUAGCAUGAGCGUACACUAUAAAUACCAUUGGAGCUCUACUUCUAAUGUUAGGUAUCAGGGUCUGGGAUGAGGG
Molecule: long non-coding RNA, 257 nt
Filed under: Elaeis guineensis (African oil palm)
Lineage: Eukaryota; Viridiplantae; Streptophyta; Magnoliopsida; Arecales; Arecaceae
Description: long non-coding RNA (EGUI_LNC016167)
Source: RNAcentral